GGUCUUUCGACGCGGGCGGACGUACCGCAGUGUUCGAAAAUUUUUACGAAGUUUCUUUUGUUUCUAUUCUCUAUAGAAUUUUAAAUAUUUGAAAUCUGUGCUUAUAUUUUUGUUUUUGAAAGGCGUUAAGGAGUUGAGGUACCAUCGAGCAGAGGGUGAAAAAUUGCGUUUCCAUACCCUACGUCAAGAUGGCCGGAUUCUACUUACCAACACUAGCUCUAUUGCUACUUGUAACAACGGCUUACGCACAAACUGAAGAAACCGAUACACCAACGGUUGUAACAACAACCAAAUCAUCCCCCACCAGCACCAACCAGCCUUCCACUACCAUUGCUUGGGAGACAGAAACCCUGAAUGAGGGUCAAGCAAUACAGAAGGCGCUGCAGUACUUGCUGCAGCAUCGCGAUGCGGAUUGGGGAUGGGGAAACGAUACUCAUCACGUCAUGUUGACUUUACAGCUGGCAAAUAACACUGGCAAAGAGAUCGAGCAACAAGCCCUGGAGAUGCAGCUGUCAGCGAAGCAGAUGGAAAUCGAAAUCCUGCUCAUGAUGUCCAAAAGGCACCACGAAUCUCCACCACCGCUGGGCCGCCUAGCUGCCUACACUCUUGCUCUCGGCGCUCUCUGCAAGGAUCCUCGCUCCUUCCAUGGCCGAGACCUGGUGGCUGCAUUACUCCACCGAGAGCCUCCACAUGACCUUGAGUUUGCAUAUGCUACCCUUGCUGCGUGUUCUUCGGCCGCCCAUGUUAGACGUCGCCAUAUAAGACGUUUGUUGGACAUUGCUAAUGCUGCUGCUGACCAUAGUCUUGAUACGAUCUCCAUGGUCAUUCUCGCUUUGCGCUGCGUAGUUCAAGACCACCGCCAUCGCAGUCUGCUCCAUUUCGUUCGACGACCAAUGGCCGGCCUUGCUCGUCAGCAACACCCUGAUGGCAGCUUUGGAAGUCUUACCACUACUGCUUUAGCUAUUCAGGCUCUCGAAGAUUCAGACAGUGGUCCAGGUGCACACCAGCACUGGAGUCUUCCAGCAGCUCGCAAAUGGCUCCUUGAACGUCAGAAUCCCGACGGUGGGUGGGGAGACGUAGCAAAGACCGCUGCAGCGGUUGCAGCUCUGACACCGGCAUCUUUGGCAGCAGUACGUCCUCCACAUUGCAGCGAUAAAUUGUUGGAGAGUCGUCAUGAACCUUUAGACAGCAACGGUGGUGAUGGCAGCCUGAAACUGGCUUACCAAUCUGGCCAUACCAGCAACGAUUCUGACGCCCGCAACGUAUCUUUCACGUACACCUUGUGGUUGGGCACCAACGUGACUGAGAACUACACCCUGUACAUGGUUGCUCCGAGAAACGUAUCAUUCUACCACGUAAUGCAAAUGGCGGCAGACCAAGACCCGAAGUUCAAGUUCGAAGCCAGCGAAUGGCCCAACGGGCAUUACGUCCACACCCUGGCUGGGCAUAAGGAGGAACCCAUGGGCUAUCAUUAUUGGCUGCUGUAUCGUUUGCCAGAGAUCCCUGACCCCGUGAGCCCACCGGGUAACCAGCUUGUUGCUCCUGUUGGUGUAGAUGACCUCCUCGUGGAAGAUGGAGAACAUUACCUCUUUUGGUACAAGAAAUUGUAAUUCCCUCAUUUCAAUUCCAUUUCUGCCUUUUUGAAAAACUUUCCCUGUGCCUCUAAUUUCUACCCUUAGAAAUAUCCUGGGUCAAAAUUCGAAAAAAUAGUUUCAUCUCAAAUAUGUAACACAAUCACAAAAACUUUUAAAAUCGAUAAGUACAUACUACUAUUUGUUUUAUAGUUGUAAAUUUUUUUUUUUGUUACGUAUAAGUCAAUAUUUUUAAUCCUUUAAGUUAUGUACGCUUAAAAAAGUGCUGAAACUAGCAUUAACAAUUAUGCUUCUUCAUGUUAAAAAUCUAAUCGCUAGUUUUAUGAAUCAUAAUUAUUGUAAUCGUGUUGUUUAUGAUAUAUUUCUAUGACUAUGCGAAAUAAUUUAUCUUUGUGGAAAAACAGAUGGUUCCAUAAAAACGAACAAUUACCAAAAUCGUGAACUCAAAAAUUAGCACAGUAUCAAUUAAAAAGAGGUUAUCGGC
Molecule: RNA transcript, 2076 nt
Organism: Hyposmocoma kahamanoa
Lineage: Eukaryota; Metazoa; Arthropoda; Insecta; Lepidoptera; Cosmopterigidae
Exons: 12
Source: RefSeq, a predicted model, not a curated record